UACGGAGGGUGCAAGCGUUAUCCGGAUUCACUGGGUUUAAAGGGUGCGUAGGCGGGCAGGUAAGUCCGCGGUGAAAUCCUGGGGCUUAACCCCAGAACUGCCGCUGAUACUAUCUGUCUUGAAUACUGUGGAGGUGAGCGGAAUAUGUCAUGUAGCGGUGAAAUGCUUAGAUAUGACAUAGAACACCAAUUGCGAAGGCAGCUCACUACACAGCCAUUGACGCUGAGGCACGAAAGCGUGGGGAUCAAAC
Molecule: ribosomal RNA, 250 nt
Filed under: uncultured bacterium
Lineage: Bacteria
Description: partial 16S ribosomal RNA
Rfam family: Bacterial small subunit ribosomal RNA
Source: RNAcentral